RNAcentral lists this ribosomal RNA (1355 nucleotides) under Borboropactus sp. MR411. RNAcentral's name for it is "SSU rRNA". It matches the Rfam family "Eukaryotic small subunit ribosomal RNA", at positions 414 to 1786 of the family's 1831-position model. Lineage: Eukaryota; Metazoa; Arthropoda; Arachnida; Araneae; Thomisidae. The record is from RNAcentral.
AUCCAAGGAAGGCAGCAGGCCCGCAAAUUACCCACUCCCGGCACGGGGAGGUAGUGACGAAAAAUAACAAUACGGGACUCUUUUGAGACCCCGUAAUUGGAAUGAGUACACUCUAAAUCCUUUAACGAGGAUCCAUUUGAGGGCAAGUCUGGUGCCAGCAGCUGCGGUAAUUCCAGCUCAAAUAGCGUAUAUUAAAGUUGUUGCGGUUAAAAAGCUCGUAGUUGGAUCUCAGUUCCAGACUGGGUGGUCCGCCCUACCGGUGGUCACUGCCUGUUCUGGAACAGCCAGCCGGUUUCUCUUGAUGAUCUUCACCGGUUGUCUUGGGUGACCGGCAAGUUUACUUUGAAAAAAUUAGAGUGCUCAACGCAGGCUGCGACGCCUGAAUAAUGGUGCAUGGAAUAAUGGAAUAGGACCUCGGUUCUAUUUUGUUGGUUUUCGGAACACGAGGUAAUGAUUAAGAGGGACAGACGGGGGCAUUCGUAUUGCGACGCUAGAGGUGAAAUUCUUGGACCGUCGCAAGACGAACUACUGCGAAAGCAUUUGCCAAGAAUGUUUCCAUUAAUCAAGAACGAAAGUUAGAGGUUCGAAGGCGAUCAGAUACCGCCCUAGUUCUAACCAUAAACGAUGCCAGCCAGCGAUCCGGCUGUGUUCCUCAAAUGACACGCCGGGCAGCUUCCGGGAAACCAAAGCCUUUGGGUUCCGGGGGAAGUAUGGUUGCAAAGCUGAAACUUAAAGGAAUUGACGGAAGGGCACCACCAGGAAUGGAGCCUGCGGCUUAAUUUGACUCAACACGGGAAAACUUACCCGGCCCGGACACAGGAAGGAUUGACAGAUUAAGAGCUCUUUCUUGAUUCUGUGGGUGGUGGUGCAUGGCCGUUCUUAGUUGGUGGAGCGAUUUGUCUGGUUAAUUCCGAUAACGAACGAGACUCUAGCCUACUAAAUAGGCGUUCCGAUCGUCUCGGUCGGACGUUCUCUUCUUAGAGGGACAGGCGGCGUCUAGCCGCACGAGACAGAGCAAUAACAGGUCUGUGAUGCCCUUAGAUGUCCGGGGCCGCACGCGCGCUACACUGGAGGAGCCAGCGUGUGCCUUCCCUGUCCGACAGGACUGGGUAACCCGUUGAGCCUCCUCCGUGCUGGGGAUAGUGGAUUGUAAUUGUUCCACUUGAACGAGGAAUUCCCAGUAAGCGCGAGUCAUCAGCUCGCGUUGAUUACGUCCCUGCCCUUUGUACACACCGCCCGUCGCUACUACUGAUUGAAUGAUUUAGUGAGGUCUUCGGACUGGCGCUCGGAGCGGCCCACGGGUCGCGCCGGCGUGCCGGAAAGAUGACCGAACUUGAUCAUUUAGAGGAAGUAAA